UACGGGGGGGGCAAGCGUUGUUCGGAAUUACUGGGCGUAAAGGGCGCGUAGGCGGUGCACUAAGUCGGAUGUGAAAACUCUGGGCUCAACCCAGAGCCUGCAUCCGAAACUGGUGGACUAGGGUGCUGGAGGGGAAAGCGGAAUUCCUGGUGUAGCGGUGAAAUGCGUAGAUAUCAGGAGGAACACCGGUGGCGAAGGCGGCUUUCUGGACAGUAACCGACGCUGAGGCGCGAAAGCUAGGGGAGCAAACAGG
This 253-nucleotide ribosomal RNA is filed under the name uncultured bacterium. Its description in RNAcentral is "partial 16S ribosomal RNA". It matches the Rfam family "Bacterial small subunit ribosomal RNA", at positions 524 to 776 of the family's 1533-position model. The record is from RNAcentral.